UAAGGAAUAUUGGACAAUGGACGCAAGUCUGAUCCAGCCAUGCCGCGUGAAGGAUGAAUGCCCUCUGGGUUGUAAACUUCUUUUAUAGGGGGAGAAAGAUACUUUUUUUAAGGUAGUUGACGGUACCCUAUGAAUAAGCACCGGCUAACUCCGUGCCAGCAGCCGCGGUAAUACGGAGGGUGCAAGCGUUAUCCGGAUUUACUGGGUUUAAAGGGUGCGUAGGCGGGCAUGUAAGUCAGUGGUGAAAUACCGGAGCUUAACUUCGGAACUGCCAUUGAUACUAUAUGUCUUGAAUAUUGUGGAGGUAAGCGGAAUAUGUCAUGUAGCGGUGAAAUGCAUAGAUAUGACAUAGAACAUCGAUUGCGGAGGCAGCUUGCUACGCAAAUAUUGACGCUGAGGCACGAAAGCGUGGGGAUCAAACA
RNAcentral lists this ribosomal RNA (422 nucleotides) under uncultured bacterium. RNAcentral's name for it is "bacterial SSU rRNA". It matches the Rfam family "Bacterial small subunit ribosomal RNA", at positions 355 to 774 of the family's 1533-position model. The record is from RNAcentral.